UAUGGCGACCGGCGCACGGGUGAGUAACACGUAUCCAACCUGCCGAUGACUCGGGGAUAGCCUUUCGAAAGAAAGAUUAAUACCCGAUGGCAUAGUUCUUCCGCAUGGUAGAACUAUUAAAGAAUUUCGGUCAUCGAUGGGGAUGCGUUCCAUUAGGUUGUUGGCGGGGUAACGGCCCACCAAGCCUUCGAUGGAUAGGGGUUCUGAGAGGAAGGUCCCCCACAUUGGAACUGAGACACGGUCCAA
RNAcentral lists this ribosomal RNA (246 nucleotides) under uncultured bacterium. RNAcentral describes it as "partial 16S ribosomal RNA". It matches the Rfam family "Bacterial small subunit ribosomal RNA", at positions 87 to 334 of the family's 1533-position model. The record is from RNAcentral.